This is a small nuclear RNA of Mustela putorius furo (domestic ferret), 107 nucleotides long. The record is from Ensembl. NCBI's taxonomy places the organism in Eukaryota, Metazoa, Chordata, Mammalia, Carnivora, Mustelidae.
GUGUUUGCUUCAGCUGUACAUAUACUAAAAUCGGAAUGAUACAGAGAAGAUGAGCAUGGCCCCUAAACAAGGAUGACAUAUAAAUUUGUGGAGCCUUCCAUAUUUUU